UCGUGCUAGAUGGGGAGGUAGCGGUGCCCUGCACCCGCAAUCCGCUAUAGCGGGAUUGAAUUCCCGUCCAGAGGUCCUUGUAUCUCAAGUUCGAUCGGAGCAAAGUAGCGCUGAAGACCGGAUUCUACGCAACAAAGAGCUUCUGAACCCCGUCAGGACCGGAAGGUAGCAGCGGUAAGAAUGUCUCUUCGUGUGCCGCAGAGUCGUCCGGUUGGAGCUAACUCGCCCUGGACGGACCUAAGGUCAGGAUCGAAGAUGGGUGCACGG
RNAcentral lists this signal recognition particle RNA (267 nucleotides) under Candidatus Handelsmanbacteria bacterium. RNAcentral describes it as "signal recognition particle sRNA large type". It matches the Rfam family "Bacterial large signal recognition particle RNA". From Rfam's summary of the family: The signal recognition particle (SRP) is a universally conserved ribonucleoprotein involved in the co-translational targeting of proteins to membranes. The record is from RNAcentral. Lineage: Bacteria; Candidatus Handelsmaniibacteriota.